UUCAAGAAAAGAUUUAGGGCUGGAGAUGGAGUUCAGGUUAGUGCGCUUGCCUCGCACAUUCGAGACGCUGAGUUCUAUGUCCACGUCACACAAACAAACAAAGCAAAACAGCUCUCGGUAAGGUUUUAACUGUGCCAGCCCAAGGGGCACUGGGACAGUAGGCGGUUCUGACCCGGGGGCCAAGGCCAUCCGCAGGCGGGCUCCCCGGCCCACAUUGGCCAAGCUUAGAGUCAGCAAAUGGAAUGUGUUUCAGGUGUGUGCUGGCUCCAGGAACUCAGGGGAGAGGUUCUGCUCCAAGCAAGUAAAAAAAUCCAGCUUCCCCACUCCUUCAGCGGGCCUCCACCACAGCCCGGCACCGAAGUGGAGGAGGAGCCCGAAACGUGCUAGACAGAAAAACAAACAUACACAGCGCAACCUCCGCACGGAGUUCUGGGCCAAGGAAACUUGGCAAGGCCCUUCCUGAGAGCUCGUAGAAGGGCUGGGAAGCCUGGAAGCCACGGUGAGACGAGGAGAGGAGAGGGGUGCAAAGGGCAGGCUCCAGAGCAUAAACUCAAGAGGACAAAGACCACGGUGACAAGCUGACCUCAGUGCCUGGCCCACAGGCACGUGAAUAAAUGUGUUGAAGACUUCGCCCUGGACCAGCAGACCUAUGCACCAGGAGAGGUUUCCAGCUGGUGUGGCCCAGAACUCUGGGAGGCUGAAGCAAGAGGAUGCCAAAUUCCAGCCCAGUCUGAGCAAC
Heterocephalus glaber (naked mole-rat) is the source of this 739-nucleotide non-coding RNA. The record is from RefSeq and is a predicted model, not a curated record. Lineage: Eukaryota; Metazoa; Chordata; Mammalia; Rodentia; Bathyergidae.